This 699-nucleotide ribosomal RNA is filed under the name uncultured bacterium. RNAcentral describes it as "bacterial SSU rRNA". It matches the Rfam family "Bacterial small subunit ribosomal RNA", at positions 86 to 820 of the family's 1533-position model. The record is from RNAcentral.
UAGUGGAAACUGGCGGACGGGUGAGUAACGCGUAGGGAUGUGCCUAUGGGUACGGAAUAACCGUUGGAAACGACGGCUAAUACCGUAUACGCCCCAAGGGGGAAAGCUCCGGCGCCCAUAGAGCAACCUGCGUCCGAUUAGCUUGUUGGUGAGGUAAUGGCUCACCAAGGCUUCGAUCGGUAGCUGGUCUGAGAGGAUGGUCAGCCACACUGGGACUGAGACACGGCCCAGACUCCUACGGGAGGCAGCAGUGGGGAAUAUUGGACAAUGGGGGCAACCCUGAUCCAGCCAUGCCGCGUGAGUGAAGAAGGCCUUAGGGUUGUAAAGCUCUUUCAGCAGGGAAGAUGAUGACGGUACCUGCAGAAGAAGCCCCGGCUAACUCCGUGCCAGCAGCCGCGGUAAUACGGAGGGGGCUAGCGUUGCUCGGAAUUACUGGGCGUAAAGAGCAUGUAGGCGGAUUGUAUAGUCAGGCGUGAAAGCCCCAGGCUCAACCUGGGAACUGCGUUUGAUACUUACAGUCUAGAGUCCGAGAGAGGGUGGUGGAAUUCCCAGUGUAGAGGUGAAAUUCGUAGAUAUUGGGAAGAACACCAGUGGCGAAGGCGGCCACCUGGCUCGGUACUGACGCUGAGAUGCGAAAGCGUGGGGAGCGAACAGGAUUAGAUACCCUGGUAGUCCACGCCGUAAACGAUGUGCGCUAGA